Molecule: small nucleolar RNA, 121 nt
Filed under: Ochotona princeps (American pika)
Lineage: Eukaryota; Metazoa; Chordata; Mammalia; Lagomorpha; Ochotonidae
Description: Small nucleolar RNA SNORA74 (ENSOPRG00000023326.1)
Source: RNAcentral
CCCUGCUGUAGGCAACUGCCUAGGUUGCAUUAUACCUAGGUAAGUGUUACAUUGCUGAGAGAAAAUUAGCCAAUAGCUGGCAGGCAUCCUGUCCCUGGUUAAUGCUAAACGUAUUAAUUAU